CGCUGCCUCAGCGUGGUUCGACGAGCAGUGUCAUGUCCGCGCCCAGGAUUCGAACCAACGAAACACUGGGCCGCCUGCAGCGGAGCGCGCAAACUUAACCACUCUGCCACGGGGCCAGCCCCCCUUCCGGGGCCCUUUUGCUGCUGGAUGAGCCUGGUUCUCAGAUUGACAGAGUAGCAAAUAUCUGCGACAAGGAAGAAAAGAAGAUGUCUCAGAGACAAACCACAUCCGCUUUUCCACUUCGACAUGAAAGUGUGCAUGGAGCAGAGGAGAAGCAAAUAGCAAAGCAAACAAGCUUCUCGAGACUGACGAUGUGGUGGUGCUAUCCUGGAUUAGGAGGAGUCCUUCUUCCUGAUUGCCUACUACUGUUAAGAGCACUAAAGUAAGCUUUCCUGGCUGAUGAAGUCCAGCACACAAUGAAAAUGGCAGCUAAUCCUGAGUCAAUCUGCUGGAACUUAAAAGUUUUAUAUUAUUCUUUGGGGAAAGAAAUCCCUGACCUCUGCAUACCCGCCAGAUCAGAAGUCCCUCCAAGGAUACAUUUCUGCUUGAUGCAGUGAUUAACAUGGAGUUAAUUCUCAGCUGUGUGAAAAUCCAAAGACUUCUGUCUGGACUGAAUGCAAUAGGUUGCACGUAACAGGUAAGCAGAAAAUAGAUGAAUUGAUAACCAUGACAUAUGUAAGAAGAAGGUGCUGAUGUGAAUUUUUGCAAAAGUAUGUUAUAAAUACAAAGAGAUGUAUGCAUUAUCAGAGAUCUAACAUUAUGUGAAACAGAG
RNAcentral lists this long non-coding RNA (772 nucleotides) under Equus asinus (donkey). Its description in RNAcentral is "lncRNA (ENSEASG00005032532.1)". Lineage: Eukaryota; Metazoa; Chordata; Mammalia; Perissodactyla; Equidae. The record is from RNAcentral.